CAUGGCUGGGGAUCUUUCACAUAGGUUUUCUCUCUUUUGGUCCCCAAAACAUCUUCCUCUUUUAAAAAGCAGUUUUGCAUUAGUGCCUGUUGUGGAAGAAAGCAUCAUUCGGCUGGGUGCGGUGGGUAGCUUACGCCUGUAAUCCCAGCACUGUGGGAGGCUGAGGCAGGCGGAUUGCCUGAGGUCGGGAGUUUAAGACCAGCCUGACCAAUGUGGAGAAACCCCGUAUCUACUAAAAACACAAAAUUAGCUGGGCAUGGUGGCGCAUGCCUACAUUCCCAGCUACUAGCUACUUGGGAGGCUGAGGCAGGAGAAUCACUUGAACCUGGGAGGAGGAGGUUGCAGUGAAUUGCGAUCUUGCCAUUAUACUCCAGCCUCAGCAACAAGAGUGAAACUCCAUCUCCAAAAAAAAAAAAAAAAAUGGCUGGGUGAAGUGGCUCAUGCUUUUAAUUCCAGCACGUUGGGCGGAUCAGGAGGUCAGGAGCUUGAGACCAGCCUGGCCAACACAGUGAAACCCCAUCUCUUCUGAAAACACAAAAAUUAGCUGGGCGUGGUGGUGGGUGCCUGCAAUCCCAGCUAUUUGGGAGGCUGAGGCAGAAGAAUCGCUUGAACGCGGGAGGCAGAGGUUGCAGUGAGCAGAGACUGUGCCACUGCACUCCAGCCUGGGUCACAGAGUGAGACUCCAUCUGGGGAAGUGGAGGGAUGACUGGAAAAGCUUGUGUGGAACAGUUCAGACGAACACAAAAGAGAGAUUGUGCGGAUGUCCUUCAUCCCUAUUGCUGUCUUAGAUAACUGUCUGUGCACUGCCAGGGUAAAUCAUUUCACUAAUAGUCAUUAAAUAUUCUAGUUUGUAUCUUUCUUACUUUCUUUUUUGAGACGGAGUUUUGCUCUUGUUACCCAGGCUGGAAUGCAAUGGUGCGAUCUCAGCUCACCGCAACCUCUGCCUCCUGGGUUCAGGCAAUUCUGCUGCCUCAGCCUCCCGAGUAGCUGGGAUUACAGGCACACAUCACCAUGCCCAGCUAAUUUUUUGUAUUUUUAGAAGAGAUGGGGUUUCACCAUGUUGACCAGGAUGGCCUCGAUCUCUUGACCUCGUGAUCCACCCUCCUCGCCCUCCCAAAGUGCUGGGAUUACAGGCAUGAGCCACCGUGCCCGGCCCCUAGUUUGUAUCUUUUAAAGAACUUUUUUUUUUUUUGAGACAGAGUCUUGCUCUGUUGCCAAGGCUGGAGUACAAUGGUGAGAUCUUAGGUCACUGCAACCUCCACCUCCUGGGUUCAAGUAAUUCUCCUGUCUCAGUCUCCCAAGUAGUUGGGAUUACAGGCACCUGCCACGAUGCCCAGCUAAUUUUUUGUAUUUUUAGGAGAGGCAGAGUUGUACCAUGUUGGCCAGGCUGGUCUUGAUCUCCUGACCUCAGGUGAUCCACCCACCUUGGCCUCCCAAAGUGCUGGGAUUACAAGUGUGAGACACCGCAUCCAGCCUCAAAAAGAACUUAAAAAAUAAAAAUAAAAAAAUGCCCUAAACAGUUAACAAUAAUUCAUUAUUAGUGUCACAUAGACAGUGUUUGGAGCCUCCCCAUCUCAAAAUUGGCAGAGUUUGUUUGUAUCAGGGUCUAGAUUAUUUUUUAUUGGUUGUGUGGGUAUGCUAUUGGGAUGAACCCUCAUUUAAUCCAUCCUGUUGAUGGACAGUGAACUGAAUGUAAUUUACAUAAUGAAAGCCUAUCCUUCUAAUGGGGUGGUACUAGGAGGUGGGGCCUUUGGGAGGUUAUUAGGGAUGGAUAAGGUCUUGAGCGCAGAGCCGCCAGGAGGAGAUACAGUGUCUUAAAGGAGGUCCUAGCAUGAGUUUGUUCUGUUUCUACCUUGUGAGGACUCAGCGAGGAGCCAGCCUCAGGAACCAGAAAGCAGGACCUGAUCACUGACUUCUACCCUCCAGAACUGGACCUUCCAGAGUAGUGGACUGUCUUCACACCUUUUCUCAUCAGUGCCCUCCUUGGGGGCCUGUGGAUCCCCAGAGGAAGAGUCUCCUGGACUGAGCACACAGGCAUGGUCACCACAGGGCUAUGUGGCCAGGGUGUUGAGAGGCUGGGAGGGGAAGCUGGAGGGGGAGCAAUGGAGGUAGGGUGGGCGGGGCACUAUCUCCUUUCUGCACAGUCUCUUUCUUGCUUAAGAAUUUGCACCUCUUGUGUGGGCAACGAAUGCAACUUCAGGGUUACAAGAGUUGUGGUCACUUGUGCAUUUUUUUUAAAAAGAUGGCAGUAAUAGGACCCUUUCCAGGUCUGCGACUGAUUUUUGUGAGCAACAACAGAAUGGGAUUUAUAAACGUGAGUACAACAGCAGGCGUCUCUGUAUGAGCUGUGUGUGGGCACACUGCAUCCUCAGGCAUUGUCCUCCGUUCCUGAGUCCUUAGGACUCAGCACCAGGCAGUGAACAGAUCCCGUUUCUAAGGUAUCUUCUACAUGUUCUGCUGCCACGGGGAUGAGGAGCAGCCUCUGCUCCACCCAUCUCCACCAAUGAGUAAAAGCCAAUUCCCUACCAAGGCAGGGAACACUCCACCUCCCACCUGCAGUCCCUGACCCUGUGCCGUUUACAGUGUUCCUUCACUCGUGAGUUGUCAUGAUGAAGAAAGAAGUCAGUAGCAAACUGACCCUCUUAUGGAGUUAUGACGUGGGGCUGUAUGGGGACAAUGAUCUGCAGGGGACCUGGGGUCUGGCAUGGCCUUGACACUGAGCAAGUGAGAAGGCAGCUGACCUUUGACAGCUACUAUUUUGUUUGUCCAGCAUGCAGGUAAGUUAGUCCCGUGCAGGUAAAUUACUCCAGUAGACCAUGACGAGGGGCACUAACUUGAAAAAAUGGCCAUGUGCCGAACUAAGAACUUCACAGAUCCUCACCCAGACCAAUGUUCAGAGACAGGGAGCCUCGACGUGAGAACCAGAGAAAGCUGAAGACGAGGAGCUGAUCCCCUCACAGGUACAGUAGUCCCCUCUCAUCCUCUAAAUGUGUUCCAAGAGUUGACAUUACCCCUCUGGCCUUAUUAGCUUCCUGGCCUGUCUCACCGUGUCUUCAUGACACGGCCUAAAAAUCCUGGGCUUACUCAGCUGGCCAUAACUUCCUUCCAUGUCCACCUGUUCUUACUCACCUGGUUGUAAUUUGCUGGCCUCAAUCUCCCUUCAAAACCCAGCUGAUUUUACCUGCUAAGAUUUACUUGCCUGCCUUCUGACAUUAUGAGGCUUUUGUCAUUGCUCUCCUGCCCUUGCUCCUCCCUGGUCUUAAUCCAACUCAUGUUAAGAUUCUGGCCAGAUUCUCUUAGCCUUCCCUACCUGGCCUAACCCUACGGGCCUUAACCUCCUGGCCUGAAUUAGCCACCUAGUUUUCCCAACUACUCUUACUGAUUCUACAUUACUCACAUGGCCUCCACACUGGGUUUUCACAACUGUCCUUAGCCUUCUGAUUUUAUCUAACAGGACUUAAACUCCUGGAUUUACCUCCCUAGGUUUUCUUACUUGGUUUUCUCAUCUCCCUGCUCUUUUCCUGUAACUUUACCUGCAACUCCAUGCCCCCGCCCCAUCUUGCGUUGCCCACCUGACCUUAACCUCACAAUCUUCCCAACCUGGAUGACCAACAUAGUGUACCAACCUGGCAUUCACACCUGGCCUUAACCUUUCAUUCUAACUCACAUGGCCUUAACCUCCUGACCUAGUGUGCCUAGUAUUAACCUCUCGGCAUUACCCAGGUGGAGUUAGCCAUCUACCUCUAUUUGGGAAGGCAUUAACUUACUGGUGUAAACCCCCCAAACUUUUCAGUCAUUUGGCUUUCUGACCUGGUCUUAAUCUCAUGGGUUUGCCAAGUUAGAUGUUCCCAUCUAUCUUAUGAACCUCCUGGCCUUACCCACCCGUUAUGAAUCUCCUGGCUUUAUGCACCUAGCUUACCGACCUGACUUUACUCAGCUCAUUUUAGGGCCGUGGACAGAUGUUAUUAGCCUUCCUCAUCUGUCCUAACCUAAGGGCCUUAACCUCAUGGCCUAACAACUUGUAUUAGCAACCUAGUUUUCCUAUCUAGUCUUAAAGACCAUAGGUUACCCACAUGGCCUUCACACUUGGUGGAUACAACUGUCUCUAACUUUCUGGUUUUAUCUACCAGGCAUUAACCCUGGAUAUAUCUCCCUAGGUGGGCUCCCCUGCCUUAUUUUUCCUAUAUUUACACCCCUGCUUCCCCAUUACUUUUGCAUUCAAACGCCUCACAUUAGCCAUGUAACUCAAGAAUAUACCAAGUAGGAAGCUGUUAAAUACCUUCCACUAAUUACAAACUAAAAGGUAUCCUCCACAAAGGAGCCAUGGGGGCAGGGUAAACUUAAUGUUUCUCAGCAAUGCUCACCUGCCCUCUUCAGAUGCCUGGCCUCAGCCUGGAUAACUUAAUCUGCUGGCUUCAUAUCCUACUGGUGUUUACCACCUGUUUCAUUCGGCUGGCCUCCACCUCCUAGCCUUCACUCCAGUCAUACUCACCUAGUAUUUACCUAUAGUCAUUAUUUGACUGGCUUGGCAACUUGCCCUUAUUCCUAAUGGGUGUUUUCCCUGUUGAUUUCACAGCCUGGGGUUACUGAGAUAGUCCUUUAUUGAGCUAGAUUUAGAUACCUGGUUUUAACAACCUUGACAAAAUUAUUGAUUAAACCCCAGGCCCAGCCCCGUCCCCAACCCUAGCUUUACCCCCGACUCUAUGUCCCAGGCCCAUGCCCCAGCCCCAGCUUUACCCACAAUGCCAUGUACCAGCCCCAAGCCCAGCCCCAGCCGUAGCUUAAUCCCAACUCCAUGGCACAGGCCCAGACCCAGCUUUACCUCCAACUUGAUGUCCUAGCCCCAGCCCCAGCCCCAGCCCCAGUCUCAGCCCCAGGCCUAGGCCCAGCUGUAGAUUUCUCCCCAACUCCGUGUCCCUGGCCCAGGCCCUUAACCCCUACUGGGUGUUCUCCCUGUUGAUAUCACAACCUGGGGUUACUGAAAUAGUCCUUUAUUGAGCUGGAUUUAGACACCUGGUUUUAACAACCUGGCGAAACUCAGCCAACCUUAUUGACCUGUUUGCGUUUGUCACCUUAUUUUGUCCUCAUGGUAUGACGAACUUCAUUAUCUAUCUGGCCUUAUUAACCUCCUUGCCCUACUCACAGUCUUCAUGACUUUGCCUAAAAUUCCUGGCCUUACCGACUGGCCAUAACUUCCUGCCACUGUCCACAUGUUCUUAGUCACCUGGUUGUAAUUUGCUGGCCUCAAUCUCCCAUCAGACUCACCUGAUUUUACCCAAUAAGAUUUACCCACCUGCUUAGGCAGCUCCUGCCACUGCUCCCCCCCUGCCCUUGCCUUGUUGCCCUACCCACCUCAUUUUAUAGCCCAGGCCAGACCCCAUUCACCUUCCCCAGCUGAUAUAACCCUGUGGGUCUUAAGUUCAUGGCCUUUAAAAUCUGUAUCAGCCACCUAGGUUUCCCACCUCUUAAUGGUAUACAUGACCCACAUGGCUCCACACUUAGGUUUCACAACUGCUCUCACCGUUCUGGUUUUAUCUAACAGGCUUUAAGCCACUGCCUGGUUUUACCAAACUUCAUGGCCCCACCCUAGCCCCAGCCCUAGGUUUACCCCAAACACCAUGGCCCAGGCCCUGCCUCAGCCCCAGCCCCAACCCCAGUCCCAGCCCCGACCCUAGCUUUAUCCCCAACUCCAUGUGCCAGGCCAUGCCCCAGCCCGAGCUUUACCUGCAACUCCAGGUAUCAGCCCCAAGCCCAGCCCCAGCCAUAGCUUUAUGUCAAUUCCAUGGCAGAGGCCUAGCCUCAGCCCCAGCUCCAGCCCCAGCCCCAGCUCCAGC
Molecule: non-coding RNA, 5834 nt
Organism: Callithrix jacchus (white-tufted-ear marmoset)
Lineage: Eukaryota; Metazoa; Chordata; Mammalia; Primates; Cebidae
Source: RefSeq, a predicted model, not a curated record